Entelurus aequoreus (snake pipefish) is the source of this 737-nucleotide long non-coding RNA. RefSeq lists it as uncharacterized. Lineage: Eukaryota; Metazoa; Chordata; Actinopteri; Syngnathiformes; Syngnathidae. The record is from RefSeq and is a predicted model, not a curated record. The transcript has 4 exons.
CUAGGCCUAGGCUAUAUUUCAUUUUCUUUUGUACUUUUUUUUUAAUUGUUGAAGGGAAACAAAAAGCAGAGACAAGACCGUUUUUGCAAUCAACGUUACAGUUUUUUUUUAAUCUGGGGAUGGAUGGCUGAGUUGGACACGUUCUGGAUCCACACGACCUUAGAUGAAGCCAGCUGCAACCCGUAGAGUGGAGUCGUGGAGAGAGCCCCUCGCCCCUCAGCUAAACCAGAGUAAAUGAAGCCAGCACCAACCUGUGGAGUGGAGUCCAGGAGAGAGCAUGCCGCCCCUCAGCUAAACCAGAUCAGAUAAAGCCAACUGGAACCAUAUUUUUACAUAUUUUAUAUUAAAUAUAUUGAAUAAAACUACAUAUGAUAAAGAAAGUGUUAUCUUAUCUUUUUUAUAUGCUAAACUUGAUUAAAUUGGUGAUUACAUGUUGAAGCUGUAGAAGAAUGAAAAAUGUAAGCUAAACAAAAUUGUUUUUAACUACAUAAUUAAAAUUCCUGCCUUUUACACAUGUUCACUUGGCGUUUAUAUAACAUCCAAAUGUCAUUUCUCAGCUUAAUUAUCAGGCAGGCUCAUAGACUUACAGCAAUGUAAUUUCUUCAGGAAGGCACAAGGCUAAGCUCUGCACAAUGAAUUGCAUCAGCAAGAACUUUCUGACUGUAGCUUACACUCCAAAUAGUAUGCCUUUGGCCAGCACAAAGACAGAUAAGAGAACAGGGAACAUUCCAUCGCGA